This 428-nucleotide ribosomal RNA is filed under the name uncultured bacterium. RNAcentral's name for it is "bacterial SSU rRNA". It matches the Rfam family "Bacterial small subunit ribosomal RNA", at positions 354 to 796 of the family's 1533-position model. The record is from RNAcentral.
GUCGAGAAUCUUCCGCAAUGCGCGAAAGCGUGACGGAGCGACACCGCGUGAUGGAUGAAGUCCUUCGGGGCGUAAACAUCUUUUAUAAAGGAGGAAAUUUUUGACGUUACUUUAUGAAUAAGGGGCUCCCAAUCUCGUGCCAGCAGGAGCGGUAAUACGAGAGCCUCAAGCGUUAUCCGGAAUCAUUGGGCGUAAAGGGUGCGUAGGUGGUUUGAUUAGUCUCCCGUUAAAACUUCGAGCUUAACUCGAAAAGAGCGGGGGAAACGGUCAAACUAGAGUAUGUGAGAGGUGUGUGGAACUCAUGGUGUAGGGGUGAAAUCCGUUGAUAUCAUGGGGAACACCAAAAGCGAAGGCAGCACACUGGCACAUCACUGACACUGAGGCACGAAACCUAAGGUAGCGAAUGGGAUUAGAAACCCCAGUAGUCC